Molecule: long non-coding RNA, 3165 nt
Organism: Gallus gallus (chicken)
Lineage: Eukaryota; Metazoa; Chordata; Aves; Galliformes; Phasianidae
Source: Ensembl
CUGAUUAACAAGGUUUCCCUGAAAAAAAGUAGGUGAAAGUUAGCAUUUGAUUUCAGUCAGUAAUGUGGCAGUGCUUUGUACACCCGGCCCAGGAUUUGAAAGAAAUAAACAUUCACCGAAUGGCCUUUCUUUCCUUUGGAGAUAAACAUCUUUCACUUCUCAGAAUUCUGCUUUGAACUACGUGGGAACAUUUCAAAGCGGGAUGAUUUCAAAAAAAACUUCCUUCGUGUUGAGAAUUUAGGAGAACUUACGUCUGGAUUUCAAUCUCUUUGAAGCAGCCCUGGUUUUGAACCAAAACAGCCUCUAACAAAGCACCUGAUCUAUGGUUGACAUAUGUGGGAUGGAGCUGAUCCCAGAGACGUGGCAUUUUGAUUUCUGCUUCUGAGGCUGCUCUGUAACUGCUGGGCUGCUACAUGGAAGGUAUCUGCCAGCACCUCUUCAAGGAGAGGAGCCCCACUGUGCCAUUCACUCUGUGCUUCCUGUGCACUGUCGAUAUGCCUGAGCCUGCCUCCUGAUAAUGCUACUCAGGGGCUCAUAUCCUGCAGGGAUCUGCAUUCCGAUGACCUCCUGGAUGCCUGCAAGACUGUGACAGAAGGGAAUUCCUCCCUGGCAAGGAUGAGACCAAAGAUGGGUGGUGGGUGCACGGAAGUCCAUCACAUGACUGAGCCAUAACUUCUGGUGCAGAACAAAAGCAAACCCCCUACAUGUGUCCCAGGUCAGGUGACGUGCCUAGGACUUUCCUUUCCAAAGGAAAAUCAAAGUCUACAAGCAAAGUACGUGCUAGUCCAUGUACUUCCCAUCAAUCAUGCUGUGAGGAGUCGUAAAAAAAACUAUUUCCUUAUUCCUGACCUGGAGCCAAAGACCUGGAGCAUGUGGUUUGAUUAUCGCCACUGUUGUAAAGUGGUGCUCAGCCUGCUGUGAGUCAGCUCUGAAGAAGGGCUCAUCACGGGGCACAGAGGGUUGCAGUAUCCUGGAGCUGUGUGGCACCCCUGGAUGUGUCUCUGGAAAAGCCCAGAAGGGAAGAAGAGAAACACAGCCCAAGACCUUAUGGCUAAUGAGUCAUAGGAUCACAGAACCAUAGAACGAUUUGGGUUGGAAGGGACCUCCAAGCCCACGCUGCCCUAACCCGAGCCAUGGGCAGGGCUGCCGCCCACCAGCUCAGGCUGCCCAGGGCCUCAUCCAACCUGGCCUUGAGCGCCUCCAGGGAUGGGGCACCACAGCUUCCCUGGGCAGCUGUGCCAACGCCUCACCACCCUCCUAGGAAAUAUUUUCCUAAUAUCUAAUCUGAAUCUCCCCUUUUAGUUUGGAAUUGUUACUUCUUGUUCUGUCACGAGGAAGCCAAUUCUCUGCACCACAUCCAGGACCUUGCAGCCUCCUGCGCUGCUGGAUGCUCACCAGGUACAGCCCUUGUCUACUACAUAAGAAGACUGCAGAGAAAAAAAAAUUGGACAGUUUAUUCAAAAGAAAAUCAAGAGGCAUCUUGAUCACAGCCUGUAUCUGCUAAUUGAGGGAUAAAAAGCAGGAUGGAGUUCCCAGCCAACAAAACACAGCAAGAAACAGGGCAAAAAAAGCUCCAUGCUUUGGAUGGUUAGCAGCUUAUCAGCAGGAGGAAAAGGUUUUUGUGUUAGUGAGGCUUUAAACCAAGUCAGAAUUCCUGUCAGAGAUGGGCUGUGUCUCUGAGUGAGACACAGGCUGAGUGCAGGCAGUGGCCAUGAGUGGUGUCCUUGGUCAGGUCCCACCCAGGGACAUGCGAGCAAAAGGCACAGCUGCAGGUUCUAUCAGCCGUUGGUCCUGGAGCAGCAGGAACAAAGGAUGAGGGUAGAUUAGAUGGGAGGUCUUACAUGGAGUGAAAGUAAAAGUGAAAGUCCAUACCUCUGCAAUGUCUCAGUGAGCAAGGACUGCUGUACAUGUAAAAGGCCAAGUCCAGCGUGCACUGGAGUUAGAUUUUGGCUCUCAAAAGUUCUUCUCAAGAAGCUAUGAGACAUCAUGACGUACUGAAAUUAUUAGACAGCAAAAAUUUAGCUAGCAAAAAUUGUUAGUGAUAAGUAUUAAGGGAAAUCCGAACCGUUAGCCUUUGUACCUCUGAAUACAUCUCUAUUCACAUACCACUAGCUUGCUUUCUUACACAUAGUGGGUGGAUGCUGGUACGAGGCACGCAUAAGCAAAACGGAUCUGAAGAACACUAUAUCCAUUGUGAAGAGAAAUUAAAGAAGCUUUCGAAGGGCUAUCAGUUUACUGAAGCAGUUCAGUUUUUUGCCUUUUCUCAGUAAAUAGUUUUUUAUCCUCUCACAGCUUACACUUACUCCAGAAUGUAGAGGGUGAACUUCAGACUUUUCCCUCCAAAGGAAAUGGUUACGAGAACUUAUAUGUCAAAGAGUUUCACGUCAUGGUUGUUUUGUCUUUGGGCUUUUUGUAAGUGGCUUCUUGUUGUGCUGUGGUGUGCUGCAGCCGAGGUUCACUGAUCCGGGCCCAAACUGCUGUGUAAAACAAAGGAAGCAACUGGAUAAGUAUAACCUUUUGGGUCAUACUAAUGGUGUGCAUCUGCUUUUGGAACGGGAGUCUUGCUUUCCACAAACCCCCUUUAAUGUGCACUUCAAUGGCUGGGAGAACUCCUUGAGAGCAGCCCUGCGGAGAAGGACUUGGGGGCUCUGGUGGGUGAGAAGCUGGACGUGAGCCAGCAGUGUGUGCUUGCAGCUCGGAAGGCCAACUGUGUUCUGAGCUGCAUCAACAAGAAGGGUGGGCAGCAGGGAGAGGGAGGUGAUUGUGCUCCUCUGCUCUGCCUUCGUGAGGCCCCAUCUGGAGUACUGCGUCCAAGCCUGGGGCCCCCAGCACAAGAAGGAGUGGAGCUGUUGGAGAGGGUCCAGAGGAGGGCAUGAAGAUGCUCAGAGGGCUGGAGCACCUCUCCUGUAAAGACAGGCUGAGGGAGCUGGGCUUGUUUAGUCUGGAGAAGAGAAGGAUGCAGGGAGAUUUCACUGUGGCCUUCCCAUUACUUGAGGGGAGCAUAUAAAUAGGAGGGAAACUGACUUUUUACGUGGUCUGAUAGUGAUAGGACAAGGGGGAAUGGCUUUAAACUAAAAGGGUGAAAUCUAGGUUAGAUCUUAUGAGGAAAUUCCUUACUCAGAGGGCGGUGAGGCGCUGACACAGCUGCCCAGGGAAGCUGUGGUG